AGUGAACGCUGGCGGUAGGCCUAACACAUGCAAGUCGAACGGCAGCACAGUAAGAGCUUGCUCUUACGGGUGGCGAGUGGCGGACGGGUGAGGAAUACAUCGGAAUCUACUUUUUCGUGGGGGAUAACGUAGGGAAACUUACGCUAAUACCGCAUACGACCUACGGGUGAAAGCAGGGGAUCUUCGGACCUUUCGCGAUUGAAUGAGCCGAUUUCGGAUUAGCUAGUUGGCGGGGUAAAGGCCCACCAAGGCGACGAUCCGUAGCUGGUCUGAGAGGAUGAUCAGCCACACUGGAACUGAGACACGGUCCAGACUCCUACGGGAGGCAGCAGUGGGGAAUAUUGGGCAAUGGGCGAAAGCCUGAUCCAGCCAUACCGCGUGAGUGAAGAAGGCCUUCGGGUUGUAAAGCCCUUUUGUUGGGAAAGAAAAGCAGCAGGUUAAUACCCCGCUGUUCUGACGGUACCCAAAGAAUAAGCACCGGCUAACUUCGUG
RNAcentral lists this ribosomal RNA (492 nucleotides) under uncultured bacterium. Its description in RNAcentral is "partial 16S ribosomal RNA". It matches the Rfam family "Bacterial small subunit ribosomal RNA", at positions 29 to 507 of the family's 1533-position model. The record is from RNAcentral.